GGUCUCAAAAUUAAUAAUCUCAUAAAAUGUAAAAUGUUACGGACGAGGGUUUUCCGAGUGUAGAAUCAGUGCGGUAGAUAAGAAAGUAAAACAAAGAGAUGAAUCAAAAUAUGCAUCAGUGGUUGAGCAUAUUUUAACAAAACUUUACACCUACCUGUCCUUUGAAUAAUGACGUCAAGUUGUACUCAGGCAGAUCAGACUUCGUAGAUUCAAUUUAAACACUGAGUGUCUUGUUGUGUGGAAUGCACAAAGUGCUAUUCGACUAACGAUUCACAGUUUUCAUAAGAUUGUGUGGCACGGUUUAAAGUAGGAACGGUUGUAACAAUCGCAUUUGUAAAGGGUGUUCAAAGGUUCAGAUCCAUUACGCCACAGGUAAAGAUAGAUAAGAAUUCAUACUCUAACGACAGUCAAGACUUACAUAAGGCAUCGCAUGUUUCAAAAAUGAGUUGUAUAAUGAGCCAUUUACAGCGUGUAGUUACCUUGCGAAUGUACACGAUUGUUGCAUUGUUUAUUACACCAAUGAUUCUUCCAUUUUUUCACGACGGAACAUACUGUCAGAACGAGGCUUUGUAUGGGUUCGAGUCGAGUUUGGAACGUAGAAAUCACGCGGCACCGCUUAUCACGGCGAAGAAUGAAGCAGUCAAACCACCGGAACUGGUGAACAAGAAAAAGACAGUUUUGUAUUGGACAAAAAUGUUUUCGAGUAAAAAUUUUCGCUUAAGCGUACACGACGAAAAUCCUGACGUUUUCGCAAACUGUCCUGUCAGCUCUUGCAUGGGAACAAGCGACCGAAAUUAUCAGCCCGUCGAGAAAUUCGACGCUCUUCUAUUUCACGGUCCGGAAUUAAACGCCAGAGAUUUGCCAAAAACAAGGUCACCAAAUCAACGAUACAUAUUCGCGGAUUUUGAGACACAGGUCUUUCAUCCGAUACCGAAAAGAUUAGAAUUCAACAAUUUUUUCAACUGGACAAUGACUUACAGGAGAGAUGGAGACAUUAUGCGGCCACACGCGAUCUUCAGGAAAAUUAGCACCAACGAGUUUAUACCCCCCGACAUUCCGGCACAGUGGUUGGACGUUUCCGACGGCAACGUGUCCGAGUCUACGCGUCUCUUGUUCAAGAAGAAAUCGAAAAUGGCCGCAUGGUUCGUUUCUCAUUGUUCGACGAACAGCAAGCGAGAGAACAUCGUGAAGAAGUUGCAGAAAUAUGUGAAGGUAGACGUUUAUGGAACGUGUGGAACAUUGGAAUGCCCGAAAGCCAAAGGAGCCGAAUGUUACGAGCAAUUGGAACAAGGAUAUUUCUUCUACCUGUCAUUCGAGAACUCCUUGUGCCGUGAUUACAUCACGGAAAAAGUGUACCGGGUACUGGACUACGACGUGAUACCCGUCGUUUACGGUGCGACAGACUACGAAACUUUUCUCCCGCCGAAUUCCUACAUCAACAUCCUGGACUUUCCCUCGAUCGAGGCACUCGCCAAUUUCCUCACGGAACUGAGUCAGGACGAGGAGAGGUAUCUGAGCUACUUCAAGUGGAGAAGUUUUUACAAAAUGGUCACUGGGGAUCCCCAUAUUAUCGCUUGCGAGUUUUGCAAGAUGCUCCAUGAGCCAAAUAUGCCUAGACAGGUAAUUGCCGACAUAUACGAUUGGUGGGCUAAAGGAUCGCAGUGUGUCCCACCGCCUGUAAUCAACUAAUAAAGUCAUUGGUGAUAAUCAAAAAGAUGUUAUUGGUAUGUGAUAAGAUAAAAUAAGUAUAUGUAGAUAUAUACCAUGUAAUUGAAACAAAGAUCUAAUUUAGUGAUAUUAAUGUUCACCUCACGCGUACCAAAGUUAUAAUUAUAUCAUUUUUAUCAUUUAUAUUAAACUUGGACCUCACUGGAAUCAACGACGCGAAACAAGCUCAAGUUGUCGAGAUAAUAUUCAAAGGAGCAAGGCCCAGGUGUGUGGUCAAGUCUUGUAAGCAGUAAGGACGAAGAAAGCAGCCUCGUACAAGGUUGCGACGACAAUAAACCACGUUCUACGGAAGGAAACAAUAACUGUCUGCUUCAACUGGAUUCAUUCUGUACCGUAACGUCAUUUAUUUUUCCAUUCUCGUGCUCUUUUAUUGCUUUUUUGUUUUCCGUCAUUUAUUUCAGAUAUGUGUA
RNAcentral lists this unclassified non-coding RNA (2138 nucleotides) under Neodiprion pinetum (white pine sawfly). RNAcentral's name for it is "alpha-(1,3)-fucosyltransferase C-like, transcript variant X2". Lineage: Eukaryota; Metazoa; Arthropoda; Insecta; Hymenoptera; Diprionidae. The record is from RNAcentral.